This 406-nucleotide ribosomal RNA is filed under the name uncultured bacterium. Its description in RNAcentral is "bacterial SSU rRNA". It matches the Rfam family "Bacterial small subunit ribosomal RNA", at positions 29 to 420 of the family's 1533-position model. The record is from RNAcentral.
AACGAACGUUAGCGGCGCGCUUAACACAUGCAAGUCGCACGAGAAAGGGCUUCGGCCCCGGUAAAGUGGCGCACGGGUGAGUAACACGUGGGUAAUCUUCCCUCGAGCGGGGGAUAACAUUCCGAAAGGAGUGCUAAUACCGCAUAAGACCACGGCUUCGAAAGAAGCUGAGGUCAAAGCUGGCCUCUAUAUAUAAGCUAGCACUUGAGGAUGAGCCCGCGGCCCAUCAGGUAGUUGGUAGGGUAACGGCCUACCAAGCCUAAGACGGGUAGCUGGUCUGAGAGGAUGAUCAGCCACACUGGAACUGAGACACGGUCCAGACUCCUACGGGAGGCAGCAGUGGGGAAUCUUGCGCAAUGGGCGAAAGCCUGACGCAGCGACGCCGCGUGAGUGAUGAAGGCCUCGG